Molecule: ribosomal RNA, 2393 nt
Filed under: human gut metagenome
Description: bacterial LSU rRNA
Rfam family: Bacterial large subunit ribosomal RNA
Source: RNAcentral
UUAAGCGACUAAGCGUACACGGUGGAUGCCCUGGCAGUCAGAGGCGAUGAAGGACGUGCUAAUCUGCGAUAAGCGUCGGUGAGGUGAUAUGAACCGUUAUAACCGGCGAUUUCCGAAUGGGGAAACCCAGUGUGUUUCGACACACUAUCAUUAACUGAAUCCAUAGGUUAAUGAGGCGAACCGGGGGAACUGAAACAUCUAAGUACCCCGAGGAAAAGAAAUCAACCGAGAUUCCCCCAGUAGCGGCGAGCGAACGGGGAGGAGCCCAGAGCCUGAAUCAGUGUGUGUGUUAGUGGAAGCGUCUGGAAAGGCGCGCGAUACAGGGUGACAGCCCCGUACACAAAAAUGCACAUACUGUGAGCUCGAUGAGUAGGGCGGGACACGUGGUAUCCUGUCUGAAUAUGGGGGGACCAUCCUCCAAGGCUAAAUACUCCUGACUGACCGAUAGUGAACCAGUACCGUGAGGGAAAGGCGAAAAGAACCCCGGCGAGGGGAGUGAAAAAGAACCUGAAACCGUGUACGUACAAGCAGUGGGAGCCUCUUAAUGGGGUGACUGCGUACCUUUUGUAUAAUGGGUCAGCGACUUAUAUUCUGUAGCAAGGUUAACCGAAUAGGGGAGCCGAAGGGAAACCGAGUCUUAACUGGGCGUUAAGUUGCAGGGUAUAGACCCGAAACCCGGUGAUCUAGCCAUGGGCAGGUUGAAGGUUGGGUAACACUAACUGGAGGACCGAACCGACUAAUGUUGAAAAAUUAGCGGAUGACUUGUGGCUGGGGGUGAAAGGCCAAUCAAACCGGGAGAUAGCUGGUUCUCCCCGAAAGCUAUUUAGGUAGCGCCUCGUGAAUUCAUCUCCGGGGGUAGAGCACUGUUUCGGCAAGGGGGUCAUCCCGACUUACCAACCCGAUGCAAACUGCGAAUACCGGAGAAUGUUAUCACGGGAGACACACGGCGGGUGCUAACGUCCGUCGUGAAGAGGGAAACAACCCAGACCGCCAGCUAAGGUCCCAAAGUCAUGGUUAAGUGGGAAACGAUGUGGGAAGGCCCAGACAGCCAGGAUGUUGGCUUAGAAGCAGCCAUCAUUUAAAGAAAGCGUAAUAGCUCACUGGUCGAGUCGGCCUGCGCGGAAGAUGUAACGGGGCUAAACCAUGCACCGAAGCUGCGGCAGCGACGCUUAUGCGUUGUUGGGUAGGGGAGCGUUCUGUAAGCCUGUGAAGGUGGCCUGUGAGGGUUGCUGGAGGUAUCAGAAGUGCGAAUGCUGACAUAAGUAACGAUAAAGCGGGUGAAAAGCCCGCUCGCCGGAAGACCAAGGGUUCCUGUCCAACGUUAAUCGGGGCAGGGUGAGUCGACCCCUAAGGCGAGGCCGAAAGGCGUAGUCGAUGGGAAACAGGUUAAUAUUCCUGUACUUGGUGUUACUGCGAAGGGGGGACGGAGAAGGCUAUGUUGGCCGGGCGACGGUUGUCCCGGUUUAAGCGUGUAGGCUGGUUUUCCAGGCAAAUCCGGAAAAUCAAGGCUGAGGCGUGAUGACGAGGCACUACGGUGCUGAAGCGACAAAUGCCCUGCUUCCAGGAAAAGCCUCUAAGCAUCAGGUAACAUUAAAUCGUACCCCAAACCGACACAGGUGGUCAGGUAGAGAAUACCAAGGCGCUUGAGAGAACUCGGGUGAAGGAACUAGGCAAAAUGGUGCCGUAACUUCGGGAGAAGGCACGCUGAUAUGUAGGUGAAGCGACUUGCUCGUGGAGCUGAAAUCAGUCGAAGAUACCAGCUGGCUGCAACUGUUUAUUAAAAACACAGCACUGUGCAAACACGAAAGUGGACGUAUACGGUGUGACGCCUGCCCGGUGCCGGAAGGUUAAUUGAUGGGGUUAGCGGUAACGCGAAGCUCUUGAUCGAAGCCCCGGUAAACGGCGGCCGUAACUAUAACGGUCCUAAGGUAGCGAAAUUCCUUGUCGGGUAAGUUCCGACCUGCACGAAUGGCGUAAUGAUGGCCAGGCUGUCUCCACCCGAGACUCAGUGAAAUUGAACUCGCUGUGAAGAUGCAGUGUACCCGCGGCAAGACGGAAAGACCCCGUGAACCUUUACUAUAGCUUGACACUGAACAUUGAGCCUUGAUGUGUAGGAUAGGUGGGAGGCUUUGAAGUGUGGACGCCAGUCUGCAUGGAGCCGACCUUGAAAUACCACCCUUUAAUGUUUGAUGUUCUAACGUGGGCCCCUUACCGGGGUUGCGGACAGUGUCUGGUGGGUAGUUUGACUGGGGCGGUCUCCUCCUAAAGAGUAACGGAGGAGCACGAAGGUUGGCUAAUCCUGGUCGGACAUCAGGAGGUUAGUGCAAUGGCAUAAGCCAGCUUGACUGCGAGCGUGACGGCGCGAGCAGGUGCGAAAGCAGGUCAUAGUGAUC